This 274-nucleotide ribosomal RNA is filed under the name uncultured bacterium. RNAcentral's name for it is "partial 16S ribosomal RNA". It matches the Rfam family "Bacterial small subunit ribosomal RNA", at positions 523 to 796 of the family's 1533-position model. The record is from RNAcentral.
AUACGAAGGCGGCUAGCGUUGUUCGGAAUUACUGGGCGUAAAGCGCGCGUAGGCGGAUUGGUCAGUUAGGGGUGAAAUCCCAGGGCUUAACCCUGGAACUGCCUCUAAUACUGCCAGUCUUGAGUUCGGGAGAGGUGAGUGGAAUUCCUAGUGUAGAGGUGAAAUUCGUAGAUAUUAGGAAGAACACCAGUGGCGUAGGCGGCUCACUGGCCCGAUACUGACGCUGAGGCGCGAAAGCGUGGGGAGCAAACAGGAUUAGAUACCCUAGUAGUCC